GAUGAACGCUGGCGGCGUGCUUAACACAUGCAAGUCGAACGAAGCGCUUUAACCUGAUUCUUCGGAUGAAGGUUUUUGUGACUGAGUGGCGGACGGGUGAGUAACGCGUGGGUAACCUGCCUCAUACAGGGGGAUAACAGUUAGAAAUGACUGCUAAUACCGCAUAAGACCACGGAGCCGCAUGGCUCAGUGGGAAAAACUCCGGUGGUAUGAGAUGGACCCGCGUCUGAUUAGGUAGUUGGUGGGGUAACGGCCUACCAAGCCAACGAUCAGUAGCCGACCUGAGAGGGUGACCGGCCACAUUGGGACUGAGACACGGCCCAAACUCCUACGGGAGGCAGCAGUGGGGAAUAUUGCACAAUGGGGGAAACCCUGAUGCAGCGACGCCGCGUGAGCGAAGAAGUAUUUCGGUAUGUAAAGCUCUAUCAGCAGGGAAGAAAAUGACGGUA
Molecule: ribosomal RNA, 449 nt
Filed under: uncultured bacterium
Lineage: Bacteria
Description: bacterial SSU rRNA
Rfam family: Bacterial small subunit ribosomal RNA
Source: RNAcentral